AACGAACGCUGGCGGCAGGCCUAACACAUGCAAGUCGAGCGAGGACUUCGGUUCUAGCGGCGGACGGGUGAGUAACGCGUGGGAAUGUGCCCUUCUCUACGGAAUAGCCCUGGGAAACUGGGAGUAAUACCGUAUACGCCCUAUUGGGGAAAGAUUUAUCGGAGAAGGAUCAGCCCGCGUUGGAUUAGGUAGUUGGUGGGGUAAUGGCCUACCAAGCCGACGAUCCAUAGCUGGUUCGAGAGGAUGAUCAGCCACACUGGGACUGAGACACGGCCCAGACUCCUACGGGAGGCAGCAGUGGGGAAUCUUAGACAAUGGGGGCAACCCUGAUCUAGCCAUGCCGCGUGAGUGAUGAAGGCCUUAGGGUUGUAAAGCUCUUUCAGCUGGGAAGAUAAUGACGGUACCAGCAGAAGAAGCCCCGGCUAACUCCGUG
This 433-nucleotide ribosomal RNA is filed under the name uncultured bacterium. RNAcentral describes it as "partial 16S ribosomal RNA". It matches the Rfam family "Bacterial small subunit ribosomal RNA", at positions 29 to 507 of the family's 1533-position model. The record is from RNAcentral.